GACGAACGCUGGCGGCAGGCCUAACACAUGCAAGUCGAACGAGUGGCGGACGGGUGAGUAAUGUCUGGGAAACUGCCCGAUGGAGGGGGAUAACUACUGGAAACGGUAGCUAAUACCGCAUACCAUCGGAUGUGCCCCGAUGGGCUUAGCUAGUAGGUGGGGUAACGGCUCACCUAGGCGACGAUCCGUAGCUGGUGUGAGAGGAUGACCAGCGACACUGGAAUGGAGACACGGUCCAGACGCCUAUGGGACGCAUCAGUGGGGAAUAUUGCACAAUGGGCGCAAGGAUGAUGCAGCCAUGGCGAGGUUAUGAAGAAGGCCGUGGGGUUGUAAAGUACUUUCAGCGGGGAGGCGGUACCCGCAGAAGAAGCACCGGCUAACUCCGUGCCAGCAGCCGCGGUAAUAC
Molecule: ribosomal RNA, 406 nt
Filed under: uncultured bacterium
Lineage: Bacteria
Description: partial 16S ribosomal RNA
Rfam family: Bacterial small subunit ribosomal RNA
Source: RNAcentral